Molecule: small nucleolar RNA, 337 nt
Organism: Hippocampus zosterae (dwarf seahorse)
Lineage: Eukaryota; Metazoa; Chordata; Actinopteri; Syngnathiformes; Syngnathidae
Source: RefSeq, a predicted model, not a curated record
GCCCAGUGAUGAAGCCACGGCAGUCGGGUGAUCUGUCAUGCCGGGGAUUAUGAUCACUUGCCUUCUGUUUGAUGGGUAAUCUUGGUUGUGUCAUAGUUAUAUUUCACUGCUGUAAGGGCCCACCUACACUAAAGACUGACGCCGCUUCUAUAACUUCCUGUCCUCCUCAGAGUAAUGGGAUGGGACGGGUCGGAGUUGUCAAACAACAUGUUGCAUGUCUGUCCGUUUUUGUGCGGGUGUGAUGUAUGAGUUUAUACGUAGCAGUUGGCAAUGGGAUAUAGUCUCUUUGGAGGGUUUGGCAGGCAUGAGCUACAGUCUUUGGUAAUCUGAGGGGGCA